AGAAAAAUCAGGGUGUUGCACUUUAUUAAGUGUAGGUAUUGUUUUGAGAAGCUUUUAUUUCACACCCAAUAAAAGUGUGCAGGAUUCCUCUUGUUCCAGCCUUACCUUCCCGAUGAUCCUAGCACAUACUUGUGUGUAUAUACAGACAUGUUACAGUGCCAAGUGUACUUCCUACUGUGGUGUGAUUUAAAAAAUUGAAAUACCCUAAACUGGAAGAACUCCUCAAGGUCUAAACUGCCGAAUCGAACUUCCUAUUGUAAUGGAAAUGUUCUAUAGCUGUACUAUCUAGUACCGUAGCCACUAGCCACAUGUAGCUGUUGAGCACUUGAAAUGUGUCUAGUGUGACGAAGAAUUAAGAAUUUUAGCGUGAGCCACCACGUUUAGCUGAGUAUAAUUUUAAAUAGCCCUAUGUGACAAGUGGCUACUUUAUUGGACAGUGUAGAUCUAAGAUUAAUUCCUCAACUGUUUUGCACUCAACAAAGACAUACCUCUGAGUUGGCAACCAGCAGGGUGGAUAACGGGCCAGUG
Molecule: long non-coding RNA, 528 nt
Organism: Homo sapiens (human)
Lineage: Eukaryota; Metazoa; Chordata; Mammalia; Primates; Hominidae
Source: Ensembl